UAGAGUUGGUGGAAAGCAGGACGCGGGAUCGACCCUGCGACCCCGCGUUCGCCCCACUAAUAUUACCUUAGGCUCCGCAAUCCUCUUCUUACGCAAACGCUUCCCGCCUAGUGUUCCCGAGCCUUCUCCUCCUGCACCUUCUUCUUCCUCGACAAGCCAAGCAACAUACAACUUCUUCUUCCUCGAAGAGCCAGGUAACCUCGCUAAAAUUUUCAGGGCGCGAGCAGAACACAAACUUCUAUUCUCUCUCUUUCGAAAUCCGCUAUGGCUUUGAGCCCGGAGGCUGAUCUGCAUCAUUUAAACAUAAGGAUUAUCUCUCCUCAGAUUCUAUUUGAGUGCCGUCCAAGAAGCUCAAACUGCACUCUUCCUUUUUUCUGCCAACCGUUAGCCCCUUGAACCUAGUUUUGGGGAAAAUGACCUUAGUCCUUUUUACUUUAAAUUAUUUUAUCCCAUGCUCAAUAGUUCAUUCUCACACUCUAACUUGCCACUUCAAACGCCAUUCUUAUGCUUAGAUUGUCCACCAUCAAAGGGCUAAAAUUUAAUUUUGGUAUGUGAGACUACACUGAUAGCUAAGGAGCAAAGAGAGGACACUUCCACUAUCAUUUGGCACCUUGGGGUUGAUCAAACUUUUCUUUUGUUACCUGGCUCUAUGAUGAGAGAUUCUUCCAUGUAUGAAUAGCCCUUACCUAGAGUGCUUAUCAAAAUUUAACCCUCAGCUGCAACAAACAACGAGUCAGCUUCCCCGCAGCAGCUUCCCCACAACAGCUUCCUGGGGCAGCUACAGCUGAAAACCUAGAAAUCUGCAGCUGCGCCAA
Long non-coding RNA from Phalaenopsis equestris, 815 nucleotides. RefSeq lists it as uncharacterized. The transcript is spliced from 3 exons. The record is from RefSeq and is a predicted model, not a curated record. NCBI's taxonomy places the organism in Eukaryota, Viridiplantae, Streptophyta, Magnoliopsida, Asparagales, Orchidaceae.